GGGCCUGUAGCUCAGCUGGUUAGAGCAAUCCGCUCAUAACGGAUCGGUCGUUGGUUCAAGUCCAACCAGGCCCACCA
RNAcentral lists this transfer RNA (77 nucleotides) under Alphaproteobacteria bacterium. RNAcentral's name for it is "tRNA-Met". It matches the Rfam family "tRNA". From Rfam's summary of the family: Transfer RNA (tRNA) molecules are approximately 80 nucleotides in length. Their secondary structure includes four short double-helical elements and three loops (D, anti-codon, and T loops). Further hydrogen bonds mediate the characteristic L-shaped molecular structure. tRNAs have two regions of fundamental functional importance: the anti-codon, which is responsible for specific mRNA codon recognition, and the 3' end, to which the tRNAs corresponding amino acid is attached (by aminoacyl-tRNA synthetases). tRNAs cope with the degeneracy of the genetic code in two manners: having more than one tRNA (with a specific anti-codon) for a particular amino acid; and 'wobble' base-pairing, i.e. permitting non-standard base-pairing at the 3rd anti-codon position. The record is from RNAcentral. Lineage: Bacteria; Pseudomonadati; Pseudomonadota; Alphaproteobacteria.